CGUGUACACGACGUGUCGCCGUCCUCAAAACGCCGAGCUCGCUUUCAACUCUUCCCAGCUGCAUUGCCUCCUCUCCAUUACCACUUCCGUGUAGACCAAAUCGAGAGAGAGGGAUCGCCUCGCCUCCGCCGCCCUCAUCCUUGCCGCCGGCCGUGGAGACGACAACCGUCGUCGUCAUCACUUGGUUUGGUGGGAACGCGACCUCGCCCGCGGGAGCUCCGGAGCGCACACAGUGCACCGCCGCCACGAGAUCUCGUCGCCGAUUCCGGUUGCUGUGGAGCAAAUAUAACUGAGACAUCGCGCCAUCGUUAUCGUCUCAUCACCACGACCAAAACCCCUCAAGAAUCCCCAAGAUUUAUGCACCGUGGAUGGAGAUCGACUUCAUCUUCCCCAACUCCGGCCGCCGAGCUUCAUCUUCGAUUUCUUCCUCUCCGGUGAGCCUCGCAUCAAUUCUUUGCUCGUACACCAUCCCUGUGACCUCACUGACCUCAUGGACACAUAUGCAUGUCACUUCGAUGAGUGGAUCGAGCCGUCGCCGUUUUCGCGGAGUUGCGCACCGCUGACGGGACAUCCUCUGCAUCGUCGUCGCUGUCCAGGCCUACCCGUACCUCGUCCGAGCUUCGAUGACUGCUUAAUCGGUGAAGAAGUGAUUUAGGUGCUGAUAUUUUCCAGUUACAAUGUUUUAGACUUAGUCUUUAAGUGAUGCGGGUUUCGACUGCUUCUUCUAGGAUCUGAACUUAAUGGGGGUAAACCCCUAGUCGGUGUGCUUGUGGAUUGGGUAGACAAGCUUCUGCUGUUCUAUUAUUUAUUUGGCCGGUCAGCCAGUGUAACUAAAGUAGAUGUAGUUUAUAAUCGCUUCCAUCUUAUUUGUGUUUGCUAUGUAUAACUCUGCUUAAUAUGAAAGUGUGAAUCUAGUGCACAUCCUGAAAA
Long non-coding RNA from Oryza sativa Japonica Group (Japanese rice), 930 nucleotides. RefSeq lists it as uncharacterized. NCBI's taxonomy places the organism in Eukaryota, Viridiplantae, Streptophyta, Magnoliopsida, Poales, Poaceae. The record is from RefSeq and is a predicted model, not a curated record.